This 761-nucleotide ribosomal RNA is filed under the name Prevotella melaninogenica. RNAcentral describes it as "bacterial SSU rRNA". It matches the Rfam family "Bacterial small subunit ribosomal RNA", at positions 28 to 776 of the family's 1533-position model. The record is from RNAcentral. Lineage: Bacteria; Pseudomonadati; Bacteroidota; Bacteroidia; Bacteroidales; Prevotellaceae.
GAUGAACGCUAGCUACAGGCUUAACACAUGCAAGUCGAGGGGAAACGGCAUUUAGUGCUUGCACUGAAUGGACGUCGACCGGCGCACGGGUGAGUAACGCGUAUCCAACCUACCCAUUACUGUGGGAUAACCUGCCGAAAGGCAGACUAAUACCGCAUGGUCUUCGAUGACGGCAUCAGAUUUGAAGUAAAGAUUUAUCGGUAAUGGAUGGGGAUGCGUCUGAUUAGCUUGUUGGCGGGGUAACGGCCCACCAAGGCAACGAUCAGUAGGGGUUCUGAGAGGAAGGUCCCCCACAUUGGAACUGAGACACGGUCCAAACUCCUACGGGAGGCAGCAGUGAGGAAUAUUGGUCAAUGGACGAGAGUCUGAACCAGCCAAGUAGCGUGCAGGAUGACGGCCCUAUGGGUUGUAAACUGCUUUUGUAUGGGGAUAAAGUCAAUCACGUGUGAUUGUUUGCAGGUACCAUACGAAUAAGGACCGGCUAAUUCCGUGCCAGCAGCCGCGGUAAUACGGAAGGUUCGGGCGUUAUCCGGAUUUAUUGGGUUUAAAGGGAGCGUAGGCCGGAGAUUAAGUGUGUUGUGAAAUGUAGACGCUCAACGUCUGACUUGCAGCGCAUACUGGUUUCCUUGAGUACGCACAACGUUGGCGGAAUUCGUCGUGUAGCGGUGAAAUGCUUAGAUAUGACGAAGAACUCCGAUUGCGAAGGCAGCUGACGGGAGCGCAACUGACGCUUAAGCUCGAAGGUGCGGGUAUCGAACAGG